UCCAUUGGAGCCACCUUGCAUUUCCCUGUCAGUUGCCUUUAAAAAAAAAAAGUGUAUAUAGCUCCAUAGAAAGCUGUUUUGGAAAUAAAAGCGGGUCAGGUUAGAAGGUCAUAAAAGAACUGAGGAAAGCCACUCAGAAAAUGCCCCUUGCUGAAGAGCGGCAUUGUUAAUUGCCUCUCCCACAAUAAAGUUCUGGUGUCUGAGGAAAGCUGGAAGAGCUACAAGUAGUGUUUUAAUCUGUCUUCAAGCAGUGGGUGCCAGCAAGGAUAGAAGGCAGCCAGCAGUAUGUUUUUUGUUUUUAGACUUUCUUUUCUGACACCAGCUGGCACUGAAGCACUUGAUGUGUUUAACAGGCAGGAAGGAUGGCUAUGAAAUGGUUUAAAAUAAGUUUGAGGAGUACUGAAAUCUGUGUAAAAACUAAACAUAUGAAAGAUGUUUCUAUAUUUGAUAGGAACUGUAAAUGAAAAGCCAAGCAUUUGUGACUGUUUAGAGGUUGAACAUCCUCAACUUCAAGAGGCUGAAUCCCUGGUGAUAGGCCAGAUUUAACUGCAAUCUGGAAAAAAAAAAACCUCUAGAGAAUGUGCUGUUGAGAUAUCCAAAAUUAACCCUUGGCAAAACAAGCGCAGUUAUAUUCCUUGUUGGUUUGGAGACAUGAUUAUGAAUUACAGGUGUGCUUUGCUUGGUUUUUGUUAAUCCUUUUUCACUGCCCUUUUACAAAUAUGAAGUUUAUUAAUUUCAUUUGUUUGUAAGACUUUGCUUUGUUUUGAUGUCUUCAGAUGCUGUGGAGUGUCUGCACAAAUUUACACACAGAGAAGGGCUGUUUUGUUUAACAGUGUUUUGGGACUUGAAUGUUUUGUUGUUACUCUGCACUGUCUAGCCUUUCCAUUUUGGAAAAUGAGUAUGAAUAUAAAUAAUGUCUCUAGUGGAUAGUCCAUCUCAGAUGUAUUCUGGUCUGGCUUUAGAUUUCAUUUGGUGUUGAGGUUAUUUGUGUGCCUAACACAAUUAACUGCAAAUUUUGACCCUUGUACAUAUGCUGUAUCUCUCAGCUGCUGAUAGGAGGGAAAAUUUGAUUUUUCCUUUGAGUUAUUUUCAUAUGUACAUUUGACUGCAAGUGUGCAGGGAACUUACAAGACUGAGCUUGGAGAUAUUUUGUUUGGCAGUUGCAUAUAGCAUGAGUAUAUAUAAACUGAGGUUUAUAUUUGUGCCAGAAUAAGACAUGCCUAGAGUUCAUAUCAGAGGUAGUUCCAGAUUUUCAGCCAAACCAGCAGAUUCAUGUCAUAUUUUUCUGAAAAUCCCAUCAUCAAGUGUAGAACUGUCUCUCUACUUUUUGGACAAAAACCUGUGGAUUUUUUAUAAAUGCAAACACAAUAUUUUUUUUACACAGUCUGUUGCCAUAAUAAAGAAUCACAUGUAAAACUUGUCAGGUAGACAUGAAAACGUGUAGAGAUUUCAUGGUGGGCUUUCCUGAGAAAGCACUCCAACAGAUUUUGAAUGACAUUGGCAGCUUAACUGAAAACAUUAACUGAUUUUUUUUGUUUUGCAGUAGCAGGAAGCCGUAUAUGCAACAUAUUUAUUUGUAUAGGCAGUGUGUAUGAAAGAACAGCAGCAGGUGGUUUAGAUCUUCCCUUGAAACUGCUUGUGUUCAAAACGGAGAAAUGAGUUCAGAGUUUGAAAAAAAUGGCAAUCCAACCAUUUGUAUGCUCCAUGUCAUACCUCCAUCUUUUCAGAAACUGAAAUAUGCUCUACUACUACUUCCUUUGGUUACCUGCAUUGGUUUUGCAUCAACAAAAUAGUAAGAGAUGGUUUUAGGGCUUUUUGUGCCUUAACUGCAGAAUCAUGUGGAUCAUGAUGUAGUCACUUACGCUCAAGUAUCAAUGGGAGGAAAAUGCAUUCAAGAAAGUGUAUCAAGAAAGUGUAGGCUUGAGCCUUGUGAAAUGAAUAAAUUAUGGGGUUUAAUCGCACCUUCAUUAAACCUGAUGUCAAAGAUUUUGCUGUCUCAAGUGGCACAGGAUGGCUCAGAAAGGAAUUUUGGGACUGAAGGUUGAUGCCAAGGUCUUUGAGAGGUAAACAGGAACUCUCAGUCAUGGAAAGAGAGGAGCAGUGUAAAAAAAAAGACUGAGAGACUGAGAAAGAACAAAAUGCUGUUUGCUUUGCAGUACUUCACUGAAUGAAACUUGGAAGCUACAAAUUUACUUGAUCAAGGCAGAAAAAGAACGAAUGGAGAGGAUGUCAAAACACGUAAGUUUCAGCAGAUAGUGGAUGUGCAGCUGCUGCAAUUAAGCUCUUCAAGGGACAUGUGUUAAGUUGUAAAAGUUUGAAGUCAGAAAUGUUUAUUUUGCACAGUUAUUUGUUGUGCUGGGUGGUGAGCACAUACAGCCCUAUGCAGAUAAGUACAAUGAGAGACUGCACUUUGCCCCAAACACUGACAGGAGUGCUGUGGUGGUGAAUUCCUUCAUUGCCUUGAGUCUGUGGGAACAGGGAAUAAGGGUCCUGCCUGUUCUCUGAGCAAUGGAAAUGGGGUAUUUCUUGCUGCCACUAGCACAGUGACAGGGAGUUCUCCACAUGCCUUCAGAAAAGGCAUUUCUUACAUCUCUGAGCUGUAUACUAUACCUCAUUGCAGAGCAAAGUAUAAUGCUGUAAUAACAUUCAUCGUAUAUUAGUUGGGUAUGCACAUACUACAUUUAAAUUACCUUAAUAACUUUAAUCAAGCUUGUAAUUAAUGUAAAGCUUUAAAAAAUGCAUUUAAAGCA
Molecule: long non-coding RNA, 2750 nt
Organism: Pezoporus occidentalis (night parrot)
Lineage: Eukaryota; Metazoa; Chordata; Aves; Psittaciformes; Psittacidae
Exons: 2
Source: RefSeq, a predicted model, not a curated record